Molecule: ribosomal RNA, 443 nt
Filed under: uncultured bacterium
Lineage: Bacteria
Description: partial 16S ribosomal RNA
Rfam family: Bacterial small subunit ribosomal RNA
Source: RNAcentral
CCUACGGGUGGCUGCAGUGGGGAAUAUUGGGCAAUGGGCGCAAGCCUGACCCAGCAACGCCGCGUGAAGGAAGAAGGCUUUCGGGUUGUAAACUUCUUUUCUCAGGGACGAAGCAAGUGACGGUACCUGAGGAAUAAGCCACGGUUAACUACGUGCCAGCAGCCGCGGUAAUACGUAGGUGGCAAGCGUUAUCCGGAUUUACUGGGUGUAAAGGGUGUGUAGGCGGGACUGCAAGGCAGAUGUGAAAGCCACGGGCUCAACCUGUGGCCUGCAUUUGAAACUGUAGUUCUUGAGUACUAGAGAGGCAGGCGGAAUACGUAGUGUAGCGGUGAAAUGCGUAGAUAUUAGGAGGAACACCAGUGGCGAAGGCGGUCUGCUGGACAGCAACUGACGCUGAGGCGCGAAAGCGUGGGGAGCAAACAGGAUUAGAUACCCCAGUAGUC